This 355-nucleotide long non-coding RNA is filed under the name Gossypium raimondii (Peruvian cotton). Its description in RNAcentral is "long non-coding RNA (GRAI_LNC007224)". The record is from RNAcentral. Lineage: Eukaryota; Viridiplantae; Streptophyta; Magnoliopsida; Malvales; Malvaceae.
UUUUUUGAAAAAUAGCAUAAUAAAUAAAUAAUAAAUAAAAGUCUUACCAAUCGCGUUGCCUCCUACCAUUGUUGGAGUCCUCCUCUGACCCUGAAUGCUUUCGAACCUAUUAGGGUUUUCACCGAGGCUUUGGCGAAAGGAAACGUGGGGUGUGUGAAGAGCAAGUGUUCUUUUUUAUUUUUUUCUCUUUUUAAAAGGCUUAGCCUUCGGAUCUAGCUGUCGUCGAUGACCGGUGGUCAUAACGGAGCGCCGACGACCUUAUGGCCAAACAUAGAGAGCAUUGAGAGGGAAUAGAGAGUUUUUUUAACAAAAAAAAGGUUUCAAAUGAUUUUUUAGGAUUUUUUUUACUUAUAUA